This 453-nucleotide ribosomal RNA is filed under the name uncultured bacterium. Its description in RNAcentral is "bacterial SSU rRNA". It matches the Rfam family "Bacterial small subunit ribosomal RNA", at positions 355 to 825 of the family's 1533-position model. The record is from RNAcentral.
UCGAGAAUCUUCCGCAAUGGACGAAAGUCUGACGGAGCGACGCCGCGUGAUGGAUGAAGUCCCUCUGGGACGUAAACAUCUUUUAUGAGGGAGAAAGUUUAUUGAUAGUACCUCACGAAUAAGGGGUUGCUAAACUCGUGCCAGCAGCAGCGGUAAUACGAGUGCCCCGAGCGUUAUCCGGAAUCAUUGGGCGUAAAGGGUGUGUAGGUGGCAUUGUUAGUCACACGUUAAACCCUGGGGCUUAACCCCAGAUCUGCGUGUGAUACGGCAAAGCUAGAGGAUGGCAGGGAUGUAUGGAACUCAUGGAGUAGGGGUGAAAUCAGUUGAUAUCAUGGGGAACACCGAAAGCGAAGGCAGUACAUUGGGCCACUCCUGACACUGAAACACGAAAAGCGUGGGUAGCGAAUGGGAUUAGAUACCCAAGUAGUCCCUGAGCGGGCUGGCAAGGCGCAU